This 1647-nucleotide ribosomal RNA is filed under the name uncultured crenarchaeote. Its description in RNAcentral is "bacterial SSU rRNA". The stretch from base 1 to 1373 matches the Rfam family "Archaeal small subunit ribosomal RNA". The record is from RNAcentral. Lineage: Archaea; Thermoproteati; Thermoproteota.
AGUCAACAUGCCCAAGGGACGUGGAUAACCUCGGGAAACUGAGAAUAAACCACGAUAGGUCAUGAUUUCUGGAAUGGAUCAUGGCUCAAAUCUACAUGGCCCCUGGAUUGGACUGCGGCCGAUCAGGCAGUUGGUGAGGUAAAGGCCCACCAAACCUAUAACCGGUACGGGCUCUGAGAGGAGAAGCCCGGAGAUGGGCACUGAGACAAGGGCCCAGGCCCUAUGGGGCGCAGCAGGCGCGAAACCUCUGCAAUAGGCGAAAGCCUGACAGGGUUACUCUGAGUGAUUUCCGCUAAGGGGAUCUUUUGGCACCUCUAAAAAUGGUGCAGAAUAAGGGGUGGGCAAGUCUGGUGUCAGCCGCCGCGGUAAUACCAGCACCCCGAGUGGUCGGGACGAUUAUUGGGCCUAAAGCAUCCGUAGCCGGUUCUGCAAGUCUUCCGUUAAAUCCAGCAGCUCAACGGAUGGGCCGCGGAGGAUACUACAGGACUAGGAGGCGGGAGAGGCAAGCGGUACUCAGUGGGUAGGGGUAAAAUCCUUUGAUCCAUUGAAGACCACCAGUGGCGAAGGCGGCUUGCCAGAACGCGCUCGACGGUGAGGGAUGAAAGCUGGGGGAGCAAACCGGAUUAGAUACCCGGGUAGUCCCAGCUGUAAACGAUGCAGACUCGGUGAUGGGCUAGCCUUGUGCCAGCCCAGUGCCGCAGGGAAGCCGUUAAGUCUGCCGCCUGGGGAGUACGGUCGCAAGACUGAAACUUAAAGGAAUUGGCGGGGGAGCACCACAAGGGGUGAAGCCUGCGGUUCAAUUGGAGUCAACGCCGGGAAUCUUACCGGGGGCGACAGCAGAGUGAAGGUCAAGCUGAAGGCUUUACCAGACAAGCUGAGAGGAGGUGCAUGGCCGUCGCCAGCUCGUGCCGUGAGGUGUCCUGUUAAGUCAGGUAACGAGCGAGAUCCCUACCUCUAGUUGCUACUGCUAUUCUCAGGAGUAGCAGAGCUAAUUAGAGGGACCGCCGCCGCUGAGGCGGAGGAAGGAGGGGGCUACGGCAGGUCAGUAUGCCCCGAAACCCUCGGGCCACACGCGGGCUGCAAUGGUAAGGACAAUGGGUUCCUAUUCCGAAAGGAGGAGGCAAUCCCUAAACCUUACCCCAGUUAUGAUUGAGGGCUGAAACUCGCCCUCAUGAAUAUGGAAUCCCUAGUAACCGCGUGUCAUCAUCGCGCGGUGAAUACGUCCCUGCUCCUUGCACACACCGCCCGUCGCUUCAUCGAAGUUGGUUCUUGGCGAGGUUGUAUCUAAUUAGCACUAUCGAACCUGGGGUCAGCAACGAGGGAGAAGUCGUAACAAGGUGGCCGUAGGGGAACCUGCGGCCGGAUCACCUCCUUCGAUUAAGGCCGGCAACUUAAGUGUAAAGGGUCAUGUGCCAUUGUACGUACGAAUGCAAUUCUCUGCAGGAUAUGCAGGGAAUGAAGGACCGAGCAAACGCAAGUUUGCAAUGACCGUCAUGUAUUGGAUAAAUCUGCAUCUCUCAAAUGGUUGUUAGACAUAAUAGUCUGACAGCAAUGAUAGAUGAAAUGUGGCUUUACAAUGUUCACGUAAAGUUUCAAUGCUUUAGACUACGCUGGGAAAACUGGUGCAAAGACGCCGGUUGGUGGAUG